Molecule: ribosomal RNA, 434 nt
Filed under: uncultured Lachnospiraceae bacterium
Lineage: Bacteria; Bacillati; Bacillota; Clostridia; Lachnospirales; Lachnospiraceae
Description: partial 16S ribosomal RNA
Rfam family: Bacterial small subunit ribosomal RNA
Source: RNAcentral
ACGGAAGGCAGCAGUGGGGAAUAUUGGACAAUGGGCGCAAGCCUGAUCCAGCGACGCCGCGUGAGUGAAGAAGUAUUUCGGUAUGUAAAGCUCUAUCAGCAGGGAAGAUAAUGACGGUACCUGACUAAGAAGCCCCGGCUAAAUACGUGCCAGCAGCCGCGGUAGUACGUAUGGUGCAAGCGUUAUCCGGAUUUACUGGGUGUAAAGGGAGCGUAGACGGCAUAGCAAGCCAGAUGUGAAAUGCGGGGGCUCAACCCCUGAACUGCAUUUGGAACUGUUAAGCUAGAGUAUCGGAGAGGUAAGUGGAAUUCCUAGUGUAGCGGUGAAAUGCGUAGAUAUUAGGAGGAACACCAGUGGCGAAGGCGGCUUACUGGACGAUAACUGACGUUGAGGCUCGAAAGCGUGGGGAGCAAACAGGAUUAGAUACCCUGGUA